This 240-nucleotide ribosomal RNA is filed under the name uncultured bacterium. RNAcentral's name for it is "partial 16S ribosomal RNA". It matches the Rfam family "Bacterial small subunit ribosomal RNA", at positions 28 to 269 of the family's 1533-position model. The record is from RNAcentral.
GACGAACGCUGGCGGCGUGCUUAACACAUGCAAGUCGAGCGGUAAGGCCCUUUCGGGGUACACGAGCGGCGAACGGGUGAGUAACACGUGGGUGACCUGCCCUCAGCUCUGGGAUAAGCCCGGGAAACUGGGUCUAAUACCGGAUAUGACUCCAUGACGCAUGUUGUGGGGUGGAAAAGCCUUGUGCGGCUGAGGAUGGGCCCGCGGCCUAUCAGCUUGUUGGUGGGGUGAUGGGCCACC